CUUCCAAAUUCAUGGAAAUGACAAAUCUAACACCAAAGCAGUGGAGGUUCCAGCCUUUGCCUCCUCCCUAAACUCCAAUGAUGUCUUUCUGCUGCGAACUCAGGCAGAGCACUACCUGUGGUAUGGCAAGACUUCAGCAGGAAAUCCUAGAUGUCCAGUCCCGUCUCUUUGAAUGUUCCAAUAAGACCGGCCAAUUCAUUGUCACUGAGAUCACAGACUUCACCCA
RNAcentral lists this small RNA (226 nucleotides) under Pongo abelii (Sumatran orangutan). RNAcentral describes it as "processed transcript". The record is from RNAcentral. Lineage: Eukaryota; Metazoa; Chordata; Mammalia; Primates; Hominidae.